UCCCUGGUGGUUCAGUGGCUAAGACUCUUGAGCUCUCAAUCCAGAGGGCCCAGGUUUGAUCCCUGGUAGGGGAA
Molecule: non-coding RNA, 74 nt
Organism: Bos taurus (domestic cattle)
Lineage: Eukaryota; Metazoa; Chordata; Mammalia; Artiodactyla; Bovidae
Source: Rfam